CGGUUAUACCAAGUGAUUAAGCUAUAUUCUUAGGUAAAAAGACAGUUAGGUUUAUAAUUAAAUUUAGUCUAUUAACCACCUAUAAAAAGGUAAAAUUUGUAUAUAGGUAGCUAAUCUAGAAACGGCUAUGAUAUGCUGAAGCUGUGAUAGUCUUGAGGGAAACUGGGAUUAGAUACCCCAUUAUUCUUGACUGUAAAUAUAACUAAAUUUACCAGAGUACUAUGAAUAGUUAAAAAUUUAAAACUCAAAGGGCUUGGCGGUGUUUUAGACCCAUCARGGGAACCUGUCUCGUAAUSUACAAUCCACGUUAUAUCUAACCUCAUUUUGUAUUCAGUUUGUAUACUGUCGUUGUCAGGUAACUUUUAAAAAUAUAGAACUUAGCAAUAAAAAUUACGUAACUUAAUACSUCACAUCAAGGUGCAGCCUAUAAUGAGGAGAGGAUGGGUUACAAUUAUUAAAUUUAUAAUUACGGAAAUUUAAAUGAAACUGUAUUUAAAAGGAGGACUGAAAGUAACCUAACAGAUAUUUUUACUUUGAAUAUAGCUCUG
RNAcentral lists this ribosomal RNA (548 nucleotides) under Tritia sp. 500 LAG-2016. Its description in RNAcentral is "partial 12S ribosomal RNA". The record is from RNAcentral. Lineage: Eukaryota; Metazoa; Mollusca; Gastropoda; Neogastropoda; Nassariidae.